AAUAAGAAUGAGAUAGUGGGAGAGAGAAAUGUGGUGAAAGAAUGAAUAAAAACUAAUCCAUAAUCCAUAAUAUAUAGAAACAGGAAUAGUUCAGGGUCCCACUAUUCCAGGUGGCAUUUUACUACCCAUUCUUCAUCAUAAUCCACGUGGCAUUUUCAUAGCAUUUUCUAAUUUCUUUUUUUCUCUUUGCUCAAACUAUCCUGUCUCUCCUUCAAACGAUAUCAGGCUUUUCUCUCUCUUUCUCCCAAACUCCACUUUUUUUUUCUCCUUCAACCGCAAUCUCAACAAUCUGAGAGAAAAAGCAGAUCCCGAUAAAAUCCAUCUCUUCUCAACAUUCAUCGUGCUAUCAAUGAAUCACUCGAUUCUUAUCAGGAGCCCCAAAUCUAUUCGGCACGCGAUUCAAUCAAUGACGAACUGGGAGAUCACGCGAUUCUGGUUACACAUCUCCUACCCGUGUCUCCAAGCACGCGAAUCUGCGUUUUUUACUGCAGUAAUCUCCCAUUUCACCAUGCAUAGCGUCGUGUUCUUCCAAUCGUCGUUUUGUUCACCCAUGUCCAGAUCUUCAAAUGCUUGCUGGAUGAAGACACUCAGUAAAUUGGAUCCAUUGACGUUAGGGACACAAUGAGACUAUUGUUCAUAUGAUCGAAAAGAAAGAGAUAUUGUGGAAGAGGAAUCUAGCAAGGCAGUGGCUUGCUGAUCUGGCUUAUGGAAUGUUUGUUGUUUCAUUAUCUUCAAUGCAGAAUGUUGCUCUCUCUGUUUGUUGUGGUCACUGCCAGUUUUCCUGUAUAAAAAAAUUUCUGGAAGUGGAAAGGAAAGCGGAUAAAAAAGAAAUGCUCAGUUGCUUCAAGAAUCUGAAGAUUGUGGUGAUGAAGAUGACAUGAACUUUGAUAAACAGUAUCAGCUUCUCUGAAGUGUCUUGAUCGAGAGGAGAUUGGAAAUGGUUGUAAAAAAUGUAAUCGCAGAAGAUAUAAAAUAAAGGACAUGUUCAAGAAAUUUGGGAGGGAUCAAAUCUAAGAGAAGAGAAAGAAAAACAAAUGCAAGGAGAAUGGCGAGUGGACACUUACAACUAUGAGCAAAUUGGUGUCUAUGUUCUAUAUUUUUAUGUAUUCGCAGCUUGAUGAGACACUCAAUGAGGUUGGAUUUGUUAGACGAUGCUUCAUGGUCCCACAAAAGGAUAUUAACUGAUGAAAAUGAAAAUUUGCACC
Molecule: long non-coding RNA, 1205 nt
Organism: Lotus japonicus
Lineage: Eukaryota; Viridiplantae; Streptophyta; Magnoliopsida; Fabales; Fabaceae
Exons: 6
Source: RefSeq, a predicted model, not a curated record